UACGUAGGUGGCGAGCGUUAUCCGGAUUUACUGGGCGUAAAGCGCUUGUAGGCGGCUUCGUAAGUUGGGCGUGAAAGCUCCGGGCUUAACCCGGAGAGGCCGUCCAAUACUGCGGAGCUCGAGGGUGCCAGAGGAAGGUGGAAUUCCUGGUGUAGCGGUGAAAUGCGUAGAUAUCAGGAGGAACACCCGUGGCGAAGGCGGCUUUCUGGGGCAUUCCUGACGCUGAGAAGCGAAAGCUAGGGGAGCAAACAGG
RNAcentral lists this ribosomal RNA (253 nucleotides) under uncultured bacterium. Its description in RNAcentral is "partial 16S ribosomal RNA". It matches the Rfam family "Bacterial small subunit ribosomal RNA", at positions 524 to 776 of the family's 1533-position model. The record is from RNAcentral.